GUCCAUGGUCAUAACAUCUCGAAUGCACCCCAUCUCUUCUGAUCUCAGAAGCCCAGCAGGGUCAGGCCUCAUGAGUAGGUGGAUGGGAAGAGAAUAACUCGUCCAAGAUGACCCAUUGAGUAAGUGGCAGAGGAGU
This 136-nucleotide ribosomal RNA is filed under the name Otolemur garnettii (small-eared galago). The record is from RNAcentral. Lineage: Eukaryota; Metazoa; Chordata; Mammalia; Primates; Galagidae.